This 385-nucleotide long non-coding RNA is filed under the name Homo sapiens (human). RNAcentral describes it as "HSALNT0176199". The record is from RNAcentral. Lineage: Eukaryota; Metazoa; Chordata; Mammalia; Primates; Hominidae.
GACAUCCAAUUCUGGACCUUUUAACUCUCCCUCCAGCUUUGGGGCAGAAACAUCAACAUCUCCUUUGAUUUUGGGUCCCUUUAAAUUGAAAUCAACAUCAGGCAUGGAGAUCUUGGGGGUCUUGAAGUGCAUCUCAGGCAUCUUAAACUUGGGCCCUUUCAACUUUGCAUCAGGACACUCCAGCUCAACAUCAGGCACCUCCACACCCACACUGGGACCUGUUAAAUCUCCCUCCAAUUUUGGCACCGACACAUCCACAUCCCCUUUGACUUUGGGGCCUUUCAAGUGUAAGUCCACAUCAGGCAUGGAGAUCUUGGGGGCCUUGAAGUGCAUCUCAGGCAUCUUAAACUUGGGCCCUUUCAACUUUGCAUCAGGACACUCCAGA